This is a non-coding RNA of Salmo salar (Atlantic salmon), 3593 nucleotides long. The record is from RefSeq and is a predicted model, not a curated record. Lineage: Eukaryota; Metazoa; Chordata; Actinopteri; Salmoniformes; Salmonidae.
AUAGAGCUACAUGGUGAAGGUAGUGUUGAAUAGAGCUACAUGGUGAAGGUAGUGUUGAAUAGAGCUACAUGGUGAAGGUAGUGUUGAAUAGAGCUACAUGGUGAAGGUAGUGUUGAAUAGAGCUACAUGGUGAAGGUAGUGUUGAAUAGAGCUACAUGGUGAAGGUAGUGUUGAAUAGAGCUACAUGGUGAAGGUAGUGUUGAAUAGAGCUACAUGGUGAAGGUAGUGUUGAAUAGAGCUACACGGGGAAUCUGAAGUUCAGUUUCAGACUGACAGGUGAGGCGUUGGCGUGCCAACCAACAUCAGCAACCUUUCUAUUGGGAGAAUCUCAUCCAAUCCUCUGUCCUUUUACAUUCUUCUCAAAAACCUAUUGGAUGAGAAAGCCAGAGGUCCUUCCCCCUCUGACCUUUCUAAUCCAAUGGGUUUUUGAGAAGCCUUGUGAGGAGAGAGGACACAAGGAAUCAAAGAAAUGCAAUUGAGAUUCUCCCAAUGAUUCACUUCCACCUUUUCGUUCACCUUUUAAAGUGUUUUAACUGUGUGGUUCGUCGUUAAGACAGAAGAUGAACCGAUAGUCUGACAAUAUACUCUACUGUUAUGGUGUAUGUUGGGGUCUAUUUAUUACAACGACCAGUAAACAGUCUUCAAUAAAGGACACAGUGCAGGACAAGUCACAACCCUAGGCCAUGGGGCUACAUCACUAGGGGUCAACCCUAGGCCAUGGGGCAUCAUCACUAGGGGUCAACCCUAGGCCAUGGGGCUUCAUCACUAGGGGUCAACCCUAGGCCAUGGGGCAUCAUCACUAGGGGUCAACCCUAGGCCAUGGGGCUUCAUCACUAGGGGUCAACCCUAGGCCAUGGGGCUUCAUCACUAGGGGUCAACCCUAGGCCAUGGGGCAUCAUCACUAGGGGUCAACCCUAGGCCAUGGGGCUUCAUCACUAGGGGUCAACCCUAGGCCAUGGGGCUUCAUCACUAGGGGUCAACCCUAGGCCAUGGGGCUUCAUCACUAGGGGUCAACCCUAGGCCAUGGGGCUUCAUCACUAGGGGUCAACCCUAGGCCAUGGGGCUUCAUCACUAGGGGUCAACCCUAGGCCAUGGGUCUUCAUCACUAGGGGUCAACCCUAGGCCAUGGGGCUUCAUCACUAGGGGUCAACCCUAGGCCAUGGGGCUUCAUCUCUAGGGGUCAACCCUAGGCCAUGGGGCUACAUCACUAGGGGUCAACCCUAGGCCAUGGGUCUACAUCACUAGGGGUCAACCCUAGGCCAUGGGGCUUCAUCACUAGGGGUCAACCCUAGGCCAUGGGUCUUCAUCACUAGGGGUCAACCCUAGGCCAUGGGGCUUCAUCACUAGGGGUCAACCCUAGGCCAUGGGGUUCGUCACUAAGUGUCCCCUAAAGUACAGUCAUUGUGAUAUUGUCCAAAGUAGAGCUUUACUCAUGUUCUCCUGUUAUGAAGUAGUUUUGAUGUGUAACUGUUGUAUUGCAAUGAGAUGCCUUCAGAUGUCUAGAAACCCAUAUUAACGAUCAAUACAUGUUGAUAUCUUCAGAUGUCUAGAAACCCAUAUUAACGAUCAAUACAUGUUGAUAUCUUCAGAUGUCUAGAAACCCAUAUUAACGAUCAAUACAUGUUGAUAUCUUCAGAUGUCUAGAAACCCAUAUUAACGAUCAAUACAUAUUGAUAUCUUCAGAUGUCUAGAAACCCAUAUUAACGAUCAAUACAUGUUGAUAUCUUCAGAUGUCUAGCAACCCAUAUUAAAGAUCAAUACAUGUUAUCUUCAGAUGUCUAGAAACCCAUAUUAACGAUCAAUACAUGUUGAUAUCUUCAGAUGUUUAGAAACCCAUAUUAACGAUCAAUACAUGUUGAUAUCUUCAGAUGUCUAGAAACCCAUAUUAAAGAUCAAUACAUAUUGAUAUCUUUAGAUGUCUAGAAACCGAUAUUAAAGAUCAAUACAUGUUGAUAUCUUCAGAUGUCCAGAAACCCAUAUUAAAGAUCAAUACAUGUUGAUAUCUUCAGAUGUCUAGAAACCCAUAUUAAAGAUCAAUACAUGUUGAUGCCUUCAGAUGUCUAGAAACCCAUAUUAAAGAUCAAUACAUGUUGAUGCCUUCAGAUGUCUAGAAACCCAUAUUAACGAUCAAUACAUGUUGAUAUCUUCAGAUGUCUAGAAACCCAUAUUAACGAUCAAUACAUGUUGAUAUCUUCAGAUGUCUAGAAACCCAUAUUAAAGAUCAAUACAUGUUGAUAUCUUCAGAUGUCUAGAAACCCAUAUUAACGAUCAAUACAUGUUGAUAUCUUCAGAUGUCUAGAAACCCAUAUUAACGAUCAAUACAUGUUGAUAUCUUCAGAUGUCUAGAAACCCAUAUUAACGAUCAAUACAUGUUGAUAUCUUCAGAUGUCUAGAAACCCAUAUUAACGAUCAAUACAUGUUGAUAUCUUCAGAUGUCUAGAAACCCAUAUUAACGAUCAAUACAUGUUGAUAUCUUCAGAUGUCUAGAAACCCAUAUUAACGAUCAAUACAUAUUGAUAUCUUCAGAUGUCUAGAAACCCAUAUUAACGAUCAAUACAUGUUGAUAUCUUCAGAUGUCUUGAAACCCAUAUUAAAGAUCAAUACAUGUUAUCUUCAGAUGUCUAGAAACCCAUAUUAACGAUCAAUACAUGUUGAUAUCUUCAGAUGUUUAGAAACCCAUAUUAACGAUCAAUACAUGUUGAUAUCUUCAGAUGUCUAGAAACCCAUAUUAAAGAUCAAUACAUAUUGAUAUCUUUAGAUGUCUAGAAACCCAUAUUAAAGAUCAAUACAUGUUGAUAUCUUCAGAUGUCUAGAAACCCAUAUUAAAGAUCAAUACAUGUUGAUAUCUUCAGAUGUCUAGAAACCCAUAUUAAAGAUCAAUACAUGUUGAUGCCUUCAGAUGUCUAGAAACCCAUAUUAAAGAUCAAAACAUGUUGAUAUCUUCAGAUGUCUAGAAACCCAUAUUAUCGAUCAAUACAUGUUGAUAUCUUCAGAUGUCUAGAAACCCAUAUUAAAGAUCAAUACAUGUUGAUGCCUUCAGAUGUCUAGAAACCCAUAUUAAAGAUCAAUACAUAUUGAUAUCUUCAGAUGUCUAGAAACCCAUAUUAAAGAUCAAUACAUGUUGAUAUCUUCAGAUGUCUAGAAACCCAUAUUAACGAUCAAUACAUGUUGAUAUCUUCAGAUGUCCAGAAACCCAUAUUAACGAUCAAUACAUGUUGAUAUCUUCAGAUGUCUAGAAACCCAUAUUAACGAUCAAUACAUGUUGAUAUCUUUAGAUGUCUAGAAACCCAUAUUAAAGAUCAAUACAUGUUGAUAUCUUCAGAUGUCUAGAAACCCAUAUUAAAGAUCAAUACAUGUUGAUGCCUUCAGAUGUCUAGAAACCCAUAUUAAAGAUCAAAACAUGUUGAUAUCUUCAGAUGUCUAGAAACCCAUAUUAACGAUCAAUACAUGUUGAUAUCUUCAGAUGUCUAGAAACCCAUAUUAACGAUCAAUAUAUGUUGAUAUCUUCAGAUGUCCAGAAACCCAUAUUAACGAUCAAUACAUGUUGAUGCCUUCAGAUGUCUAGAAACCCAUAUUAAAGAUCAAUACAUGUU